Long non-coding RNA from Lolium rigidum, 1537 nucleotides. RefSeq lists it as uncharacterized. The record is from RefSeq and is a predicted model, not a curated record. Lineage: Eukaryota; Viridiplantae; Streptophyta; Magnoliopsida; Poales; Poaceae. The transcript is spliced from 7 exons.
GACUUGAUGUAAGAGCUGCCAAUUGUUACCUCUUUUCCUUUGUGCAGAUUGUCAUUAUCUAUAACUAAGGAUUGUUCUCUGGGGUGAUCGGGCGGUUGAAUUUGAUGCAGACGCGGUUCGUGCCAUGGGUGACAAAGAGCCAGUUAUUUCUAUCUUUGUGGGAAGAUUGCCUAAGUCACACCGUGGUGUUACAGGGUUAAGUGGUAGCUCUGCCUGUCGCUGGUACAUUGACGAGGAUAUACCUGAUGUCAAUUCCUUCCGUGCAAGCCUUGGAGGCCAGUUUACUCCUCUGACUGCCUAUAUCCCCACGGUGCCCGAUGCCCUUCCAACCCAUGUCUAUGCGGAUCCUAUUGAGAUGACCAUGAAAGAGCUCAACGGGGUUGAUCCCUUCGUUGAUAUGGACAAAAGGUAUAUCUUCUUCUGGCUUGUGGCAAGCUUUGUUGGUUUCCGUUGAUUGCAAUUGUCUGGUGCUUCGCAACGCCUAGGUAGUCUACUCUCGAGUCAUGGUUGCAGCGCCCAGUUCGACGAGGUGCAGUGCCCCAAGCGCCCAGGAUGGCCCCUCAACCUGCUCGUGAGGUGGGUGGGAGAUGGAGGUGCCGCUAACUUCCUCAUCCACAACAUCAGGCUUUCUGAGGCGGCCCUCCGCUCUCGCUCAAGCCACUGCAGCCUCGAGGAUCAAAUCUUCCUAGGGGAAAUGUCCCCAAGCAGAGAAGGGAUGGCACGACCUGUGCGGAGGCAGUCGUCGUCAUCCUUGGCAUCCAGCUGAGCGCCUCGUCAGAGAGGUGUACCUCUCCUUUCCAGCCAUCCUCUUACAAUGAUUUUAUCUAAUUCAUGGGAAUUCUCAGACGAUGAGGAUAAAAAGUUUCCUUUUGAUGAAUUGAAGCAUAAAAUCUGUAUGCUAGAUUUAAAGUAAAUCCUAUAUUAUAUGCUUAUUGAUAUUUGCAUCCCUCUUUUUCCUAAUAUUCUGUGAUGCGUUUCUUGUUGAUUCCAUUUAAGUGGUACUUCUUUACAACUCUAUCUACAAAUCCUAGAAGCUGAGUUGAUUCUAGGCGGGUGUUUCUGCAGACAUCUUGUUUAUUUUCUUGGUAUGCUGGAUUCUUGUUGGCUGCGGGCUCUAUAAAUGCCAUUCAUGAUCCAUUUAACUUUACGUGUUAAUAACUUUGAUUUGAAAUGACGAGGCAGCCUCGGGUGGGAGAAGGAACAACAUCACGUCGAGAAGGAGGGGCAUCACACGAUGCGUUGUGGAUCACAAGGAUAAAUGUGACCAAAUUGUUCAUGGAGCACAAGAUGUAUGUCUCCUGAUCAAAAGCAAGUGGUUUCUUCUGAUUUCCAUCGCCUUUCCUUUCCAGGUUUUGCAUGUUCGAAUGAUGGGACAAGCCAAAUUGUCAAAAAGGCAAUGUUCGCUGAGCAGAACCUGGUUGUGCCAUAUGAUUAUCACCAUUACAAUCCAUGAAUAUUUAGUUAUGCCAUGCAGGUGAGUCAUGCAAAGCUAAUACAAGAUGAUGCGCUCGAAAUGGAGGAUUUAAUUUGGUACGAC